Pygocentrus nattereri (red-bellied piranha) is the source of this 696-nucleotide long non-coding RNA. Lineage: Eukaryota; Metazoa; Chordata; Actinopteri; Characiformes; Serrasalmidae. The record is from Ensembl.
CAGCAUUUAAUUGUCCGCAGAGUGUAACAGAGUGUUGGAUAACCACAAGAGCAGACAUGAUACAAAUGUUUAUUUAGCAAAAUCCAGCUAUACAGUCAGCUAGUUUUCAUUUUAUGCACUAUAACGUUAUUCAGUUAACUCAGAAAUUAAAGGCAUCACACACACCCAGUGUGAACGCUCAAACUUUGUAGCUUUAAAACAUAGAGAGGAAACACAACAUAUGCUGACUGCGGCAUUUUAGACAAGCCUUUUCCUUGUAAAAAGAAGCCAAAAUACGUAUUUGCAACACAGCAUUUCAUUAGAUGCAAAAAUAAACUGUACCACUUUCCUUCCUCAGACUCCCAGAAGUUUCUUGGCCAUGUAGCCAGGCAUACUGUAGAGGAACAGGGCCACGAUGGCAAGCAGGAGCAGAGCCAGAACGAUUUUGAUGACCAGCCACUUGUACUGGUUGCAGACAAGGUGCCGGAUUGCUUUUAGUGGGCUGCUGUGCUUCUACCAGGUUUAUCUACAAUCAAAUUAUACUUUUGAUGAUUUGAGAAGGCAUUCUUUCUCUUCUAUCUAAUGUUGGUAUGUACACAUUCUUUGUCUUAUUCUGAUUAUGUAGGCCCCAACGUUACUGAAACAGUUAGGCCUCCUAAGCAGAUGUAUUCCAUAUGUUUUUGAACAUAUCUGUCUUCUGAACAAGGAGCAUUUAGU